AGAGUUUGAUCAUGGCUCAGAGUGAACGCUGGCGGCAGGCCUAAUACAUGCAAGUCGAACGGCAGCACGACAGAGCUUGCUCUGUGGGUGGCGAGUGGCGGACGGGUGAGGAAUACAUGGGAAUCUGCCCAGUCGUGGGGAUAACGUAGGGAAACUUACGCUAAUACCGCAUGCGCCCUUCGGGGGAAAGCCGGGGACCUUCGGGCCUGGCGCGAUUGGAUGAGCCCAUGUCGGAUUAGCUAGUUGGCGGGGUAAUGGCCCACCAAGGCGACGAUCCGUAGCUGGUCUGAGAGGAUGAUCAGCCACACUGGAAUUGAGACACGGUCCAGACUCCUACGGGAGGCAGCAGUAGGGAAUAUUGGACAAUGGGCGCAAGCCUGAUCCAGCCAUGCCGCGUGAGUGAAGAAGGCCCUCGGGUUGUAAAGCUCUUUUGUCCGGAAAGAAAAGCGCCGGGUUAAUACCCUGGUGUCCUGACGGUACCGGAAGAAUAAGCACCGGCUAACUUCGUG
Molecule: ribosomal RNA, 509 nt
Filed under: uncultured bacterium
Lineage: Bacteria
Description: bacterial SSU rRNA
Rfam family: Bacterial small subunit ribosomal RNA
Source: RNAcentral